CAGGCAUGAGAGCCCUCUAGC
Molecule: small nuclear RNA, 21 nt
Filed under: Arabidopsis thaliana (thale cress)
Lineage: Eukaryota; Viridiplantae; Streptophyta; Magnoliopsida; Brassicales; Brassicaceae
Description: snRNA_04901
Source: RNAcentral